CCUACGGGUGGCAGCAGUGGGGAAUAUUGGGCAAUGGGCGCAAGCCUGACCCAGCAACGCCGCGUGAAGGAAGAAGGCUUUCGGGUUGUAAACUUCUUUUAAGAGGGAAGAGCAGAAGACGGUACCUCUUGAAUAAGCCACGGCUAACUACGUGCCAGCAGCCGCGGUAAUACGUAGGUGGCAAGCGUUGUCCGUAUUUACUGGGUGUAAAGGGCGUGUAGCCGGGAUGACAAGUCAGUUGUGAAAUUCCGGGGCUCAACCGCGGAAGUGCAAGUGAGACUGUUGGUCUUGAGUAUAGGAGAGGCAGGCGGAAUUCCUGGUGUAGCGGUGAAAUGCGUAGAUAUUAGGAGGAAGAACAGUGGCGAAGGCGGCCUGCUGGACGACAACUGACGGUGAGGCGCGAAAGCGUGGGGAGCAAACAGGAUGAGAUACCCGGGUAGUC
RNAcentral lists this ribosomal RNA (442 nucleotides) under uncultured bacterium. Its description in RNAcentral is "partial 16S ribosomal RNA". It matches the Rfam family "Bacterial small subunit ribosomal RNA", at positions 338 to 795 of the family's 1533-position model. The record is from RNAcentral.